RNAcentral lists this ribosomal RNA (522 nucleotides) under uncultured Glomeraceae. RNAcentral describes it as "SSU rRNA". It matches the Rfam family "Eukaryotic small subunit ribosomal RNA", at positions 569 to 1092 of the family's 1831-position model. The record is from RNAcentral. Lineage: Eukaryota; Fungi; Glomeromycota; Glomeromycetes; Glomerales; Glomeraceae.
AGCAGCCGCGGUAAUUCCAGCUCCAAUAGCGUAUAUUAAAGUUGUUGCAGUUAAAAAGCUCGUAGUUGAAUUUCGGAAUCGACGGAUUGGUCGCGCCUUCGGUGUGUACUGGUCUUGCCGGUUUCUCCCUUCUGACGAACCACGAUGUCAUUAAUUUGGUGUCGCGGGGAAUCAGGACUGUUACUUUGAAAAAAUUAGAGUGUUUAAAGCAGGCAUUAGCUUGAAUACAUUAGCAUGGAAUAAUGAAAUAGGACGUUUGAUCUUAUUUUGUUGGUUUCUAGGAUCGACGUAAUGAUUAAUAGGGAUAGUUGGGGGCAUUAGUAUUCAAUUGUCAGAGGUGAAAUUCUUGGAUUUAUUGAAGACUAACUACUGCGAAAGCAUUUGCCAAGGAUGUUUUCAUUAAUCAAGAACGAAAGUUAGGGGAUCGAAGACGAUCAGAUACCGUCGUAGUCUUAACCAUAAACUAUGCCGACUAGGGAUCGGAUGAUGUUAAUUUUUUAAUGACUCAUUCGGCGCCUUACG